This 492-nucleotide ribosomal RNA is filed under the name uncultured bacterium. RNAcentral describes it as "partial 16S ribosomal RNA". It matches the Rfam family "Bacterial small subunit ribosomal RNA", at positions 28 to 507 of the family's 1533-position model. The record is from RNAcentral.
GAUGAACGCUAGCUACAGGCUUAACACAUGCAAGUCGAGGGGAAACGGCAUCGAAAGCUUGCUUUUGAUGGGCGUCGACCGGCGCACGGGUGAGUAACGCGUAUCCAACCUGCCCAUCACUUGGGAAUAACCUUGCGAAAGUAAGACUAAUGCCCAAUGACAUCCCACGAAGGCAUCCGAAUGGGAUUAAAGAUUUAUCGGUGAUGGAUGGGGAUGCGUCUGAUUAGCUUGUUGGCGGGGUGACGGCCCACCAAGGCAACGAUCAGUAGGGGUUCUGAGAGGAAGGUCCCCCACAUUGGAACUGAGACACGGUCCAAACUCCUACGGGAGGCAGCAGUGAGGAAUAUUGGUCAAUGGGCGAGAGCCUGAACCAGCCAAGUAGCGUGCAGGAUGACGGCCCUAUGGGUUGUAAACUGCUUUUAUGAGGGAAUAAAGUGGGUCACGUGUGACUUUUUGCAUGUACCUUAUGAAUAAGGACCGGCUAAUUCCGUG